CCUACGGGUGGCAGCAGUGGGGAAUAUUGCACAAUGGGGGAAACCCUGAUGCAGCGACGCCGCGUGAGGGAUGAAGGACUUCGGUACGUAAAGCUCUAUCAGCAGGGAAGAAGGAAGACUGUGCUUGUCUACGGUGCCUCGGCUAACUACGGAACAGCAGCAGCGGUAAUACGGAGGGGGCAAGCGUGAACCGGAUUUACGGGGAGUAAGGUGAUCGUAGUUGGUAGUGCAAGUCUGGUGUGAAAGCCCAGGGCGCAACGCUGGGACUGCCUUGGAAACUGGGGAACUAGAGUGCUGGAGAGGAAAGUGGAAUUCCUGGUGUAGCGGUGAAAUGCGUAGAUAUCAGGAGGAACAUCAGUGGCGAAGGCGACUUACUGGAAAGUAACUGACGUUGAGGAUCGAAAGCGUGGGUAGCAAACAGGAUUAGAUACCCCAGUAGUC
This 441-nucleotide ribosomal RNA is filed under the name uncultured bacterium. RNAcentral describes it as "partial 16S ribosomal RNA". It matches the Rfam family "Bacterial small subunit ribosomal RNA", at positions 338 to 795 of the family's 1533-position model. The record is from RNAcentral.